This 486-nucleotide ribosomal RNA is filed under the name uncultured bacterium. RNAcentral describes it as "partial 16S ribosomal RNA". It matches the Rfam family "Bacterial small subunit ribosomal RNA", at positions 30 to 507 of the family's 1533-position model. The record is from RNAcentral.
AUUGAACGCCGGCGGCAUGCCUUACACAUGCAAGUCGAACGGCAGCACGGGUGCUUGCACCUGGUGGCGAGUGGCGAACGGGUGAGUAAUACAUCGGAACAUGUCCUGUAGUGGGGAAUAGCCCGGCGAAAGCCGGAUUAAUACCGCAUACGAUCUACGGAUGAAAGCGGGGGACCUUCGGGCCUCGCGCUAUAGGGUUGGCCGAUGGCUGAUUAGCUAGUUGGUGGGGUAAAGGCCUACCAAGGCGACGAUCAGUAGCUGGUCUGAGAGGACGACCAGCCACACUGGGACUGAGACACGGCCCAGACUCCUACGGGAGGCAGCAGUGGGGAAUUUUGGACAAUGGGCGAAAGCCUGAUCCAGCAAUGCCGCGUGUGUGAAGAAGGCCUUCGGGUUGUAAAGCACUUUUGUCCGGAAAGAAAUCCUUGGCCCUAAUACGGUCGGGGGAUGACGGUACCGGAAGAAUAAGCACCGGCUAACUACGUG